CUACGGGACGCACCAGUGGGGAAUAUUGCACAAUGGGCGCAAGCCUGAUGCAGCCAUGCCGCGUGUAUGAAGAGGGCCUUCGGGUUGUAAAGUACUUUCAGCGGGGAGGAAGGGAGUAAAGUUAAUACCUUUGCUCAUUGACGUUACCCGCAGAAGAAGCACCGGCUAACUCCGUGCCAGCAGCCGCGGUAAUACGGAGGGUGCAAGCGUUAAUCGGAAUUACUGGGCGUAAAGCGCACGCAGGCGGUUUGUUAAGUCAGAUGUGAAAUCCCCGGGCUCAACCUGGGAACUGCAUCUGAUACUGGCAAGCUUGAGUCUCGUAGAGGGGGGUAGAAUUCCAGGUGUAGCGGUGAAAUGCGUAGAGAUCCGGAGGAAUACCGGUGGCGAAGGCGGCCCCCUGGACGAAGACUGACGCUCAGGUGCGAAAGCGUGGGGAGCAAACAGGAUUAGAUACCCUCGUAGUC
This 464-nucleotide ribosomal RNA is filed under the name uncultured bacterium. RNAcentral describes it as "partial 16S ribosomal RNA". It matches the Rfam family "Bacterial small subunit ribosomal RNA", at positions 339 to 795 of the family's 1533-position model. The record is from RNAcentral.